This 491-nucleotide ribosomal RNA is filed under the name uncultured bacterium. RNAcentral's name for it is "bacterial SSU rRNA". It matches the Rfam family "Bacterial small subunit ribosomal RNA", at positions 29 to 507 of the family's 1533-position model. The record is from RNAcentral.
AUUGAACGCUGGCGGCAGGCCUAACACAUGCAAGUCGAGCGGCAGCGGGAAAGUAGCUUGCUACUUUUGCCGGCGAGCGGCGGACGGGUGAGUAAUGCCUGGGAAAUUGCCCAGUCGAGGGGGAUAACAGUUGGAAACGACUGCUAAUACCGCAUGCGCCCUACGGGGGAAAGCGGGGGACCGUAAGGCCUCGCGCGAUUAGAGCGGCCGAUAUCUGAUUAGCUUGUUGGUGGGGUAAAAGCCCACCAAGGCGACGAUCAGUAGCUGGUCUGAGAGGACGAUCAGCCACACUGGGACUGAGACACGGCCCAGACUCCUACGGGAGGCAGCAGUGGGGAAUUUUGGACAAUGGGGGCAACCCUGAUCCAGCAAUGCCGCGUGAGUGAAGAAGGCCUUCGGGUUGUAAAGCUCUUUUGUCAGGGAAGAAACAGCAGCUCUAACACAGUCUGCGAAUGACGGUACCUGAAGAAUAAGCACCGGCUAACUACGUG